GUGCUACUGGCCCAAUGGAUAAGGCGCCUGCCUUCGGAGCAGGAGAUUUCAUGUUCGAGUCCUGAGUGGCACG
Tritrichomonas musculus is the source of this 73-nucleotide non-coding RNA. Lineage: Eukaryota; Parabasalia; Tritrichomonadida; Tritrichomonadidae. The record is from the annotation of a GenBank genome assembly.